RNAcentral lists this ribosomal RNA (924 nucleotides) under uncultured bacterium. RNAcentral describes it as "bacterial SSU rRNA". It matches the Rfam family "Bacterial small subunit ribosomal RNA", at positions 8 to 945 of the family's 1533-position model. The record is from RNAcentral.
AGAGUUUGAUCCUGGCUCAGGACGAACGCUGGCGGCGCGCCUAACACAUGCAAGUCGAACGAGCGAGAGAGAGCUUGCUUUCUCGAGCGAGUGGCGAACGGGUGAGUAACGCGUGAGGAAUCUGCCUCAAAGAGGGGGACAACAGUUGGAAACGACUGCUAAUACCGCAUAAGCCCACGGUGCCGCAUGGCACAGAGGGAAAAGGAGCAAUCCGCUUUGAGAUGGCCUCGCGUCCGAUUAGCUAGUUGGUGAGGUAACGGCCCACCAAGGCAACGAUCGGUAGCCGGACUGAGAGGUUGAACGGCCACAUUGGGACUGAGACACGGCCCAGACUCCUACGGGAGGCAGCAGUGGGGAAUAUUGCACAAUGGGGGAAACCCUGAUGCAGCGACGCCGCGUGGAGGAAGAAGGUCUUCGGAUUGUAAACUCCUGUUGUUGGGGAAGAUAAUGACGGUACCCAACAAGGAAGUGACGGCUAACUACGUGCCAGCAGCCGCGGUAAAACGUAGGUCACAAGCGUUGUCCGGAAUUACUGGGUGUAAAGGGAGCGCAGGCGGGAAGGCAAGUUGGAAGUGAAAUCCAUGGGCUCAACCCAUGAACUGCUUUCAAAACUGUUUUUCUUGAGUAGUGCAGAGGUAGGCGGAAUUCCCGGUGUAGCGGUGGAAUGCGUAGAUAUCGGGAGGAACACCAGUGGCGAAGGCGGCCUACUGGGCACCAACUGACGCUGAGGCUCGAAAGUGUGGGUAGCAAACAGGAUUAGAUACCCUGGUAGUCCACACUGUAAACGAUGAUUACUAGGUGUUGGAGGAUUGACCCCUUCAGUGCCGCAGUUAACACAAUAAGUAAUCCACCUGGGGAGUACGACCGCAAGGUUGAAACUCAAAGGAAUUGACGGGGGCCCGCACAAGCAGUGGAGUAUGUGGU